GAGGGUAUAGCUCAGUGGUAGAGUGCAUGCCUCGCAUCUGUGUGGUCCUGGGUUCAAUCCCUAGUACCUCUA
This 72-nucleotide transfer RNA is filed under the name Camelus bactrianus (Bactrian camel). It matches the Rfam family "tRNA". From Rfam's summary of the family: Transfer RNA (tRNA) molecules are approximately 80 nucleotides in length. RNAcentral also lists the same sequence under 2 other names. The record is from Rfam by way of RNAcentral. Lineage: Eukaryota; Metazoa; Chordata; Mammalia; Artiodactyla; Camelidae.